GACGAACGCUGGCGGCGUGCCUAAUACAUGCAAGUAGAACGCUGAAGAGAGGAGCUUGCUCUUCUUGGAUGAGUUGCGAACGGGUGAGUAACGCGUAGGUAACCUGCCUGGUAGCGGGGGAUAACUAUUGGAAACGAUAGCUAAUACCGCAUAAAAUUGAUUAUUGCAUGAUAGUCAAUUGAAAGGUGCAACUGCACCACUACCAGAUGGACCUGCGUUGUAUUAGCUAGUUGGUGGGGUAACGGCUCACCAAGGCGACGAUACAUAGCCGACCUGAGAGGGUGAUCGGCCACACUGGGACUGAGACACGGCCCAGACUCCUACGGGAGGCAGCAGUAGGGAAUCUUCGGCAAUGGACGGAAGUCUGACCGAGCAACGCCGCGUGAGUGAAGAAGGUUUUCGGAUCGUAAAGCUCUGUUGUAAGAGAAGAACGAGUGUGAGAGUGGAAAGUUCACACUGUGACGGUAUCUUACCAGAAAGGGACGGCUAACUACGUGCCAGCAGCCGCGGUAAUACGUAGGUCCCGAGCGUUGUCCGGAUUUAUUGGGCGUAAAGCGAGCGCAGGCGGUUAGAUAAGUCUGAAGUUAAAGGCUGUGGCUUAACCAUAGUACGCUUUGGAAACUGUUUAACUUGAGUGCAAGAGGGGAGAGUGGAAUUCCAUGUGUAGCGGUGAAAUGCGUAGAUAUAUGGAGGAACACCGGUGGCGAAAGCGGCUCUCUGGCUUGUAACUGACGCUGAGGCUCGAAAGCGUGGGGAGCAACAGG
RNAcentral lists this ribosomal RNA (764 nucleotides) under uncultured Streptococcus sp. RNAcentral describes it as "bacterial SSU rRNA". It matches the Rfam family "Bacterial small subunit ribosomal RNA", at positions 28 to 775 of the family's 1533-position model. The record is from RNAcentral. Lineage: Bacteria; Bacillati; Bacillota; Bacilli; Lactobacillales; Streptococcaceae.